Molecule: long non-coding RNA, 795 nt
Organism: Micropterus dolomieu (smallmouth bass)
Lineage: Eukaryota; Metazoa; Chordata; Actinopteri; Centrarchiformes; Centrarchidae
Exons: 2
Source: RefSeq, a predicted model, not a curated record
GACAAACCUGGCUUCAUAGAGAGGAAAAGAUCUGCAACACGUGAAAAACGUAAAGAGAAAACUACUUUCCCAAAUCAAUAAAUCAAUAAUCAUUCUCUUGAUCACUUCCUGUCAGAGCCGGCCCAGCCACUAAGCGACCUUUGCGGUGGCAAAGGGCCCCGUGGGCAGCAGAGGGCCCCGUACAGUCACUGCUUGUUAGUGGUAAACUAACAUGAAAGACAGAUCUCUAUAAUUCGCACCACAAUGAGCACAUUGGUUAUUUAAUGUAGUUAUAUACUAUGGAAAAUCAGCUGUGACCUGAGACUCCUGACCCUGACUGACCCUGAGACGUCACCAACAUCACUCGUUACGCUGAGUCCGUCAGGCUCGAUGUCUGACAAGAGAAGAUCAUAUUUUUCUGGACGUGUAAAAAGACAUCAGAAGAGCCUCUAAGAAGAGAGGAGGCAAGAAGAUAAAGGUCUACCUGUGGCUACUGAAGUGGAGAGCAGUACCAUCGUGGUACCAGCACACCUGUCUCUCCAGUUUCUGCUGCUCCAGUGGAUCCAGCUGACUGGACAUCAGGACUUAACGACCAGUUACACGUUGAUGUGGUGAGCGGUAAAACCAGCACAGGUUGACAGAGACAUUUAGACUUUUCCAAAAAGACACUCAGACAGUAAAAGUCUUUUCUAUCAUUACAUGUUUAGAUCACUCAUAAAGAAGCAGGUUGAGAAAAUGAUGCUGUCAGCUGUUUCCUAGUUUUUGUCUCUUAAACUCUUGUUUGGCUGUUAUUAAAGAUUUAAGCUUUGGUCAUAA